Molecule: ribosomal RNA, 500 nt
Filed under: uncultured bacterium
Lineage: Bacteria
Description: partial 16S ribosomal RNA
Rfam family: Bacterial small subunit ribosomal RNA
Source: RNAcentral
AUUGAACGCUGGCGGCAUGCCUUACACAUGCAAGUCGAACGGCAGCGCGGGCUUCGGCCUGGCGGCGAGUGGCGAACGGGUGAGUAAUGUAUCGGAACGUGCCCUAGAGUGGGGGAUAACUAGUCGAAAGAUUGGCUAAUACCGCAUACGAUCUAAGGAUGAAAGCGGGGGAUCGCAAGACCUCGUGCUCAUGGAGCGGCCGAUAUCUGAUUAGCUAGUUGGUGGGGUAAAGGCCUACCAAGGCGACGAUCAGUAGCUGGUCUGAGAGGACGAUCAGCCACACUGGGACUGAGACACGGACCAGACUCCUACGGGAGGCAGCAGUGGGGAAUUUUGGACAAUGGGCGAAAGCCUGAUGCAGCAAUGCCGCGUGUGUGAAGAAGGCCUUCGGGUUGUAAAGCACUUUUGUCCGGAAAGAAAUGGCUCUGGUUAAUACCUGGGGUCGAUGACGGUACCGGAAGAAUAAGGACCGGCUAACUACGUGCCAGCCGCCGCGGUAA